Long non-coding RNA from Eriocheir sinensis (Chinese mitten crab), 1898 nucleotides. RefSeq lists it as uncharacterized. Lineage: Eukaryota; Metazoa; Arthropoda; Malacostraca; Decapoda; Varunidae. The record is from RefSeq and is a predicted model, not a curated record. The transcript is spliced from 6 exons.
CGUUAGCCGUGGUAGGCAGUUCACCUAGGAGAGCAAACUCCGAACAACAAACCCGGGCAGGUGGAGCUCGUUAGCCGUGGUAGGCAGUUCACCUAGGAGAGCAAACUCUAAACAAACCCGGGCAGGUGGAGCUCGUUAGCCGUGGUAGGCAGUUCACCUAGGAGAGCAAACUCUAAACAAACCCGGGCAGGUGGAGCUCGUUAGCCGUGGUAGGCAGUUCACCUAGGAGAGCAAACUCCGAACAACAAACCCGGGCAGGUGGAGCUCGUUAGCCGUGGUAGGCAGUUCACCUAGGAGAGCAAACUCUAAACAAACCCGGGCAGGUGGAGCUCGUUAGCCGUGGUAGGCAAUCUGCCUAGGAGAGCAAACUCUAAACAAACCCGGGCAGGUGGGGCUCGUUAGCCGUGGUAGGCAAUCUGCCUAGGAGAGCAAACUCUAAACAAACCCGGGCAGGUGGAGCUCGUUAGCCGUGGUAGGCAGUUCACCUAGGAGAGCAAACUCCGAACAACAAACCCGGGCAGGUGGAGCUCGUUAGCCGUGGUAGGCAGUUCACCUAGGAGAGCAAACUCCGAACAACAAACCCGGGCAGGUGGAGCUCGUUAGCCGUGGUAGGCAGUUCACCUAGGAGAGCAAACUCCGAACAACAAACCCGGGCAGGUGGAGCUCGUUAGCCGUGGUAGGCAGUUCACCUAGGAGAGCAAACUCUAAACAAACCCGGGCAGGUGGAGCUCGUUAGCCGUGGUAGGCAGUUCACCUAGGAGAGCAAACUCUAAACAAACCCGGGCAGGUGGAGGUCGUUAGCCGUGGUAGGCAGUUCACCUAGGAGAGCAAACUCCGAACAAUAAACCCGGGCAGGUGGAGCUCGUUAGCCGUGGUAGGCAGUUCACCUAGGAGAGCAAACUCUAAACAAACCCGGGCAGGUGGAGCUCGUUAGCCGUGGUAGGCAGUUCACCUAGGAGAGCAAACUCUAAACAAACCCGGGCAGGUGGAGCUCGUUAGCCGUGGUAGGCAGUUCACCUAGGAGAGCAAACUCCGAACAACAAACCCGGGCAGGUGGAGCUCGUUAGCCGUGGUAGGCAGUUCACCUAGGAGAGCAAACUCCGAACAAUAAACCCGGGCAGGUGGAGCUCGUUAGCCGUGGUAGGCAGUUCACCUAGGAGAGCAAACUCCGAACAACAAACCCGGGCAGGUGGAGCUCGUUAGCCGUGGUAGGCAGUUCACCUAGGAGAGCAAACUCCGAACAACAAACCCGGGCAGGUGGAGCUCGUUAGCCGUGGUAGGCAGUUCACCUAGGAGAGCAAACUCUAAACAAACCCGGGCAGGUGGAGCUCGUUAGCUAUGGUAGGCAAUUCGCCUAGGAGAGGGACAACUCCGAACAAUAAGCCCGGGCAGGUGGAGGUCGUUAGCCGUGGUAGGCAGUUCACCUAGGAGAGCAAACUCCGAACAAUAAACCCGGGCAGGUGGUGCCCGUUAGAUGUCGUAGACAAUCCACGUUUUGGGAAAACCAAAGAAAAGGAAAAUAAAAAAAGAACACCAGAAAAAACAAACACAGAUCAUCCACCUUCAGGCCCUAAUUAACAUUGACAAAAUUAUGGAUGGGUCUUUUCUGGGGAGAAAAAGGCUCAUCCAGACCAAGGAACAUCAACAAACGGAUGAUAUAGAAUAGAACACUGAAAGAUACUGAAAAGAAAACGAACAGAAAGAACAUCAAGAAAAGUACAAAGAAACAUCAUCCACCUUUCGGCCCUCAGUAACAUCACCAAAAUUCUGGGUGGGUCUUUUCUGGGGAGAAAAAGGCUCAUCCAGACCAAAGAACAUCAACAAGGGAUGAUGUAGAAAAGAACAUCAAGAAAGAAUGAAAAAGAGAAAAAGAAAAGAAAAAACAUCGAAAAAGAAAA